AUUGAACGCUGGCGGAAUGCUUUACACAUGCAAGUCGAGCGGCAGCGCGGGGGCAACCCUGGCGGCGAGCGGCGAACGGGUGAGUAACAUAUCGGAACGUACCCAGUCGUGGGGGAUAACUAUCCGAAAGGAUAGCUAAUACCGCAUACGUCCUGAGGGAGAAAGCGGGGGAUCGCAAGACCUCGCGCGAUUGGAGCGGCCGAUAUCGGAUUAGCUAGUUGGUGGGGUAAAGGCUCACCAAGGCGACGAUCCGUAGCGGGUCUGAGAGGACGACCCGCCACACUGGAACUGAGACACGGUCCAGACUCCUACGGGAGGCAGCGGUGGGGAAUUUUGGACAAUGGGGGCAACCCUGAUCCAGCCAUUCCGCGUGAGUGAAGAAGGCCUUCGGGUUGUAAAGCUCUUUCAGCAGGAACGAAACGGUGGUCCCUAAUACGGACUACUAAUGACGGUACCUGAAGAAGAAGCACCGGCUAACUACGUG
Molecule: ribosomal RNA, 484 nt
Filed under: uncultured bacterium
Lineage: Bacteria
Description: bacterial SSU rRNA
Rfam family: Bacterial small subunit ribosomal RNA
Source: RNAcentral